UUGGCGGCUGUGAUGCGCAACGGUAAAGGGAUUUUCUGAGGGACGGGAACUUAGUUUCCCUCCUCCUGAUUGAGAGAAACCAAUGGAUCCUUCUGAGCCUACCC
This is a non-coding RNA of Triticum aestivum (bread wheat), 104 nucleotides long. NCBI's taxonomy places the organism in Eukaryota, Viridiplantae, Streptophyta, Magnoliopsida, Poales, Poaceae. The record is from Rfam.